Molecule: microRNA precursor, 87 nt
Filed under: Podarcis lilfordi (Lilford's wall lizard)
Lineage: Eukaryota; Metazoa; Chordata; Lepidosauria; Squamata; Lacertidae
Source: RNAcentral
UUUCCUCCAGCACCAUAAUUCAAAAGCAUCAAUUCUUCAGCGAUCAGCCUUCUUUAUGAUGCUUUUGAAUUAUGGUGCUGGAGGAGA